RNAcentral lists this long non-coding RNA (331 nucleotides) under Numida meleagris (helmeted guineafowl). RNAcentral describes it as "lncRNA (ENSNMEG00000018380.1)". The record is from RNAcentral. Lineage: Eukaryota; Metazoa; Chordata; Aves; Galliformes; Numididae.
GGAAAUCCAAGUUCUACAGAAAUAUAGUGCGUGUCCAGGCAGUGUGGGAUUGUAAAAGAUGUCCCAAAUUACUUGCACUUAAAUUAUGUGUCAACAGAGAUCCUGCAACAGCUGCACACCAUUUCUCAGUGAAAUUUAUUUAAGGAAGGUUUUUUUCACCUGCCAUCAAACAUCAAUGUAGAUGUCAAUCUAUAUCAGGAAAUGUAACACCCAGAAUGGAUAUAGUUAUGUGCUAUAUCUAAAACACAGUGUAGUCAUGGAGGGUUGCUACCUAAUUCAUUCAUGAAUUCCUUAUGGCUCCAUCUGAAAGUCUCAAGAAAGAAGAAAAAUG